Molecule: ribosomal RNA, 497 nt
Filed under: uncultured bacterium
Lineage: Bacteria
Description: partial 16S ribosomal RNA
Rfam family: Bacterial small subunit ribosomal RNA
Source: RNAcentral
GAUGAACGCUGGCGGCGUGCCUAAUACAUGCAAGUCGAGCGAACAGACGAGGAGCUUGCUCCUCUGACGUUAGCGGCGGACGGGUGAGUAACACGUGGAUAACCUACCUAUAAGACUGGGAUAACUUCGGGAAACCGGAGCUAAUACCGGAUAAUAUAUUGAACCGCAUGGUUCAAUAGUGAAAGACGGUUUUGCUGUCACUUCUAGAUGGAUCCGCGCCGCAUUAGCGAGUUGGUAAGGUAACGGCUUACCAAGGCAACGAUGCGUAGCCGACCUGAGAGGGUGAUCGGCCACACUGGAACUGAGACACGGUCCAGACUGCUACGGGAGGCAGCAGUAGGGAAUCUUCCGCAAUGGGAGAAAGCCUGACGGAGCAACGCCGCGUGAGUGAUGAAGGUCUUCGGAUCGUAAAACUCUGUUAUUAGGGAAGAACAAAUGUGUAAGUAACUAUGCACGUCUUGACGGUACCUAAUCAGAAAGCCACGGCUAACUACGUG